This 2460-nucleotide long non-coding RNA is filed under the name Homo sapiens (human). RNAcentral's name for it is "HSALNT0331193". The record is from RNAcentral. Lineage: Eukaryota; Metazoa; Chordata; Mammalia; Primates; Hominidae.
CAGGCAUUAGCCACAGCGAAAAUCCUUGUAUUCAUGCCUUUGCCCAUGUUUGCAAGUAUAACUGGGAGAUAAAAUGCUAGAAUUGCAGGGUCCAAAAAAAAGCACAUUUUAAUUUUAACAACUAUAACCCAGUUGCCUUCCAAAGAGGCUGUACACAUGUUUCCCUGUCUCAAACAGUGGUGAGCAUGCCUGCUCCCCUACAAACUCACCAGCUCAGAGCAUUAUCAGGCUUCUCAUCUCUGCCAACCUGGUAAGUACAAAGGGCAUCUCUUGUAGUUUCGGUUGCAUUUUUCUCAUUAUGAGAUUGAGCAGCAGACAAUGUCUUUAAAAGACUUAUUUUGCUCUGGGUUUUAAUCUUAAAAUACUCUAAAUCCUCUUAGAAGUAGGUAGGGUCAGAUCUUCAAUCUGGAUGGAUUUACGUAAUGGGUCUAUGAAAGGGAUAGAAAGUCAAAGCAAGGGGGUGAGGCGGGGGAAUGAUGCGAAGUCAAAGCCCUCCCCCUCGGGGGCCCCUAGCCCAUCCCUGAUCCCUCACCCUUUGCAGGGCAUGUCCAGAGCUGCCACUGCCCUGGGCCUCCACCCCACAGCCCAGGACCACACCUUAACCUGGAAAGUCGUGGACCUCCUCAGGGGAGCUCAGGGAUCAGAUGGGCCGAUGGGUGUUACUGUGGCCAGGAGCACUGGGUCUUGAGUAUGUGGGUGGAACUUUCCCUCAUCCCCUGACCACGUCUAACCACAUGGCCUCUCCACUUUGAUAGUGGCGAGAAGAGUAGCCUCUUGCUUUUGCAUGUUUUCCUAAUCACAGCGUGCUUUCUUGUCUGCUAUUUCAUUUGACUUUUUUCAACCAGCCGCUGAGGUGGGGAUUAUUAGCACGCCCUUUGCAGAUGAGGAAACUGAAGCCCAGGGAGCUUUGGCAACCUGCCCAAGGUCACACAGCCAGUGAAGGAAAGGGCUGAAAUCAAACCAGGCCUGUCUGACUGCAAGGCAGGGUCUUACGGCUGCCUCCGGUGGGUAGGUCCGGGACCCAGCUGGUUUCCGUCCUGUGGCUCAGGUGCGAGGAGAGCCUCCCUGGGCCACCUGGGGAAGUCUGACUGACGUGCCAGAUCCUCACAGAACAAAGGAGAGAAGGGGACUCCUGAGAGGCCCCAGCAGCGUUAUCUGGGCAGAGAAAGUGAGUUUGAAGACCUCACACUCCAUCUGGACUUUAUCAGCUCCUUUCCUGGCACCCCCUCUCUCAGCACCAGGGAGCUCCUCCAGGAGCACUUCCUCCCAUGUCUGUGUUCGCCGUUAAGACUGGACACACCAGGAUGAUCUUUCAACUUUGGGUCCAAAGGCCCUCAGUGGAUGUAAAAUAGGUACAUGAGGCCUUGAACUGAACAUUUUUUUCACUUCACCAUAACCUGGAUUUUCCCAGUUUAGGAGCAUCUGUUUGUCUUGAUAACGUUUGGAACAAAGUGAAAAAAACUGGACUUUGAAGAGAACUUCAGGUGAAUUACACAUUUAAGUCAGAUUUUCCAUGUCUUUGUCCCAUGUUCAGUAAUUCAAGCUGUUAGGAGCCCUCAACUUUGUACAUAUAUUUCCUUCCUAUCUCUGCCUCUUCAUACCUGGUACUUACCGUGGAAUUUGAAAUCUUUCUGUGGCUGUAAGCAAGAAAGGCGGGAAAAAUACAAGAAGUUAAAGGGGAUUGGAUGGUUCAGAUUUGGUUGAUGAAUGAGAUGGUUUAGAGGCAUGUCUUGUAAGAGAUAAUUUUCUAUGUGCCAGGUACUAUUUAUGAAUCCCACAUUAUCUUAUUAAUGCUCACAACAAGCCUUGGGGGUAAAUAGAUUAUCAUCGCCAUUUCACAGAUUAGGAAAGUGAGGUUUCAGCAGUCAAUUGCUCAAAGGUCUCCUGCUAGUGAAACAGUCGUCUAUCCAAACAGUCUGAAUGACCUGUGCACAUGGGAACGUGCCACGCAAGCCAAGGGCAGGAAGGAUGAGAAGAGGUGGGCAGAAAGCCAGCUGGGAUGAAUGAAGGACCUACUACGUGCAGGCCCAGGGUCAGACAUUUUAUUUUCUUGAUUGCACUUCAGCCUCCCAGCAGCCCUGUUUUACAGAUGAAGAAACUGAGGCUCAAAGAGCUGGAGAAAGUUGUUGCCCAGGGUCCUGUGGAGAGAAAACUCAAGCUCCGGCUGUUCCACUACUCUGGGACACCACCCCCAGUGGGAACCCCACUUUUACAAGGAUUCGAAGGUAGGUGAGGACUUAUCUCCUGAAAUAAUUAGUAUACUUACUUUUUUGUUACAUAUUCCCACUAAAGGUUUGCAGCCCCACCCAGCUUGAAUAUCAGGAGAAUGGCAACAAAAUCUGGUUCAAGGCUCACAGAAUCCACGAAAGAUGCCAGCCCCUCCACGGUUGGAGAGUGAUUCACAAAUGUGUCUUUAAGGACUUUCCCAGGCCGGGCACAGUGGCUCACACCUGUAAUCCC